AAAUGCAAGUCGAACGGGGGAAAGAGAGCUUGCUCUCUGGAUCAGUGGCGAACGGGUGAAUAACACGUGAGCAAUCUGCCCCUGACUCUGGGAUAAGCGCUGGAAACGGCGUCUAAUACCGGAUACGAGCUGCGAAGGCAUCUUCAGCAGCUGGAAAGAACUUCGGUCAGGGAUGAGCUCGCGGCCUAUCAGCUAGUUGGUGAGGUAAAGGCUCACCAAGGCGUCGACGGGUAGCCGGCCUGAGAGGGUGACCGGCCACNCUKGGAMUGANACMCGNCCCAGAYUCCUNCGGGAGNCAGCAGUGGGNAAUAUUGCMCAAUGGGSSCAANCYUGAUGCARCAACKSCGCNUGAGGRASGASGSCCUUCGGGUUGUAANCCUCUUUUAGCAGGNAAGAAGCGAARKUGMCGNUACCUSCAGAAAAAGCACCGGCUAANCUACGUGCCAGCAGCCGCGGUAAUANCGUAGGGUGCAAGCGUUNAUCCGGAAUUAUUGGGCGUAAAGAGCUCGUAGGCGGUUUKUNCGCGUCNUGCUGUGAAAANCUGGGGGCUCAACCCCCNAGCCUGCAGUKGGUACGGGCAGACUAGAGUGCGGUAGGGGNAGAUUGGAAUUCCUGGUGUAGCGGUGGAAUGCGCAGAUAUCAGGAGGAACACCGAUGGCGAAGGCAGAUCUCUGGGCCGUAACUGACGCUGAGGAGCGAAAGGGUGGGGNAGCAAACAGGCUUAGAUACCCUGGUAGUCCACCCCGUAAACGUUGGGAACUAGUUGUGGGGUCCAUUCCACGGNAUUCCGUGACGCAGCUAACGCAUUAAGUUCCCCSCCNUGGGGNAGUACGGCCGCAAGGCUAAAACUCAAAGGRAUUNGACGGGNACCCGCAYAANGCGGYGGAGCAUGCGGANUUAAUUCGAUGCAACGCNGAAGAACCNUUACCAANGGCUUGACAUNAUACGAGAACGCNUGCARAAAUGUAGAACUCUUUNGGACMCUYGUAAACAGGUNGGUGCANUGGYUGUCGUCAGCUCGUGUCGUGAGAUGUUGGGUUAAGUCCCGCAACGAGCGCAACCCUCGUUCUAUGUUGCCAGCACGUAAUGGUGGGAACUCAUGGGAUACUGCCGGGGUCAACUCGGAGGAAGGUGGGGAUGACGUCAAAUCAUCAUGCCCCUUAUGUCUUGGGCUUCACGCAUGCUACAAUGGCCGGUACAAAGGGCUGCAAUACCGUAAGGUGGAGCGAAUCCCAAAAAGCCGGUCCCCAGUUCGGAUUGAGGUCUGCAACUCGACCAUC
RNAcentral lists this ribosomal RNA (1280 nucleotides) under Microbacterium lacus. RNAcentral's name for it is "partial 16S ribosomal RNA". The record is from RNAcentral. Lineage: Bacteria; Bacillati; Actinomycetota; Actinomycetes; Micrococcales; Microbacteriaceae.